RNAcentral lists this ribosomal RNA (595 nucleotides) under Trachylepis elegans (elegant mabuya). Its description in RNAcentral is "partial 16S ribosomal RNA". Lineage: Eukaryota; Metazoa; Chordata; Lepidosauria; Squamata; Scincidae. The record is from RNAcentral.
AUAAGGGUAAACCCGUCUCUGUGGCAAAAGAGUGGGAAGACCUUGCAGUAGUGGUGAAAAGCCAAACGAGCCUAGUGAUAGCUGGUUGCUCAACAAACGAAUUUUAGUUCGACUUUAAGCUACAACCCUAAACUAAAAAUCCCAUACAGCCUAAAGACUACUCAACGAAGGUACACCUCCAUUGAGAAGGGAUACAACCCAAUUUGGAGAGAAAGAAACACCAUCUAACCAGUAGGCCUUAAAGCCGCCACCAAUAACAAAAGCGUCACAGCACAAAACAACAAAUACCUAAAACACAGACGAUCUCCCAACAACCCAUUGAGCCAAACUAUGUUUAUAGAUGAACUUAUGCUAAAACUAGUAACCAGAAAUACUCUCUCAGCACACCUGUAACCCAGAAAUAGAAAAACUGCUGGAACUUAACAGACCAAAACAGGCAUAACACAGCAUGUACUACCCACUGUUAAACCAACACAGGAGUGCCACCAAGACAGAUUAAAAGUCAUAAAAGGAACUCAGCAAAACUUGUCCCAACUGUUUACCAAAAACAUAGCCUUUAGCUAACACAAGUAUUAAAGGUCCCGCCUGCCCAGUG